AGAACCAUCGCGAACUUAUCCAAGUUGCUUCGGCGGCGCGGCUCCCCUCACGGGGGAUAGCAGCCCCCGCCUCUCUGAGGUCAGGGGCGGCCGCCGGAGGUACUUAACUCUGUAUUACAAUGUUAUCCCUGAGAAUCCAACAAAUAAGUUAAAAUGUUCGUCAAAAGGUCUCUUGGUUUCGGAUCCGUGGAAGAAUGCUACCAAAUGCAAUGAGUAAUGUGAAAUGCAAAAAUCAGCGAAUCAUCGAAUCUUUGAACGUUAUCGCGCCCGCUAGAACUUUCCGGGCAUGCCUGUUCAAACAUCCUUUCAACCCUCAUUCUCUUCUUGGGGUUGGUGCUCUAAGACUGACGUAUGACCUGAAAUUUCGUGGCUCGCUCGCUUCACCUUUGACCCUAGUAAUUCAUUAGCUGCGUACGCAAGUGUGGGGUUCUCCGCCCCCU
Molecule: ribosomal RNA, 440 nt
Filed under: Coniochaeta sp.
Lineage: Eukaryota; Fungi; Ascomycota; Sordariomycetes; Coniochaetales; Coniochaetaceae
Description: eukaryotic LSU rRNA
Rfam family: 5.8S ribosomal RNA (bases 153-304)
Source: RNAcentral